AGAGCGAACGCUGGCGGCAGGCUUAACACAUGCAAGUCGAACGAACUCUUCGGAGUUAGUGGCGGACGGGUGAGUAACACGUGGGAACGUGCCUUUUGGUUCGGAAUAGCUCCUGGAAACGGGUGGUAAUGCCGAAUGUGCCCUUCGGGGGAAAGAUUUAUCGCCAUUAGAGCGGCCCGCGUCUGAUUAGCUAGUUGGUGAGGUAAAGGCUCACCAAGGCUACGAUCAGUAGCUGGUCUGAGAGGAUGACCAGCCACAUUGGGACUGAGACACGGCCAAACUCCUACGGGAGGCAGCAGUGGGGAAUCUUGCGCAAUGGGCGAAAGCCUGACGCAGCCAUGCGCGUGUAUGAUGAAGGUCUUAGGAUUGAAAAUACUUCACCGUGAAGAUAAUGACUAGUAGACCGAAGAAGAAAGCCCCGGCUAAACUUCGUAGCCAGCAGCGUC
Molecule: ribosomal RNA, 446 nt
Filed under: uncultured soil bacterium
Lineage: Bacteria
Description: bacterial SSU rRNA
Rfam family: Bacterial small subunit ribosomal RNA
Source: RNAcentral